GGUACCGUCAAUACAAUCACCUGUUGGAUAAUUGUAACUUCUUCCCAGUUGACAGAGCUUUACGACCCAAAGGCCUUCUUCACUCACGCGGCGUUGCUGCGUCAGGGUUUCCCCCAUUGCGCAAAAUUCCUCA
RNAcentral lists this ribosomal RNA (133 nucleotides) under uncultured bacterium. RNAcentral's name for it is "partial 16S ribosomal RNA". The record is from RNAcentral.